RNAcentral lists this small nuclear RNA (131 nucleotides) under Medicago truncatula (barrel medic). RNAcentral describes it as "U2 spliceosomal RNA". It matches the Rfam family "U2 spliceosomal RNA". From Rfam's summary of the family: U2 is a small nuclear RNA (snRNA) component of the spliceosome (involved in pre-mRNA splicing). Complementary binding between U2 snRNA (in an area lying towards the 5' end but 3' to hairpin I) and the branchpoint sequence (BPS) of the intron results the bulging out of an unpaired adenosine, on the BPS, which initiates a nucleophilic attack at the intronic 5' splice site, thus starting the first of two transesterification reactions that mediate splicing. The record is from Rfam by way of RNAcentral. Lineage: Eukaryota; Viridiplantae; Streptophyta; Magnoliopsida; Fabales; Fabaceae.
AUACCUUUCUCGGCCUUUUGGCUAAGAUCAAGUGUAGUAUCUGUUCUUAUCAGUUUAAUAUCUGAUAUGUGGACCAAUGGUUCACACGAUAUUANUAGGCGUUGCUUCCAAGAUAGAGGAACAAAGUCUCU